UCCCCUUUCUGGAACCACAUUAAUCACAGCGCCUUUGUUCCCUCCAAAGCUCAUCACUCAUCAUCGCGAAGAACCCUCGCUCAUCACCCAGUCACCACUCACCGCCAGUCACCACCCACCACUCACCACAUCGCUACGCCGCUCACCACCUCACCACUCACCAGCUCACACUCUCAUCCUCACUCAACACACACACAAAAGAGGAAAAAAAUCAGAAAAGUGGAGAACAGGAAGAAGAAGAGAAGAAGAGAGCAGAGGGAAAGGAAGGAGAGGACGACGCCGGCUAGAGCUCCGCCGCGCGGACCAUCGUCGUUGCGCGCGCUGACCGUCGCCUCAGCAUCGCCAUCUCGUGCACUCACCGUCGCCGCUCAGCAUCAUCAUCGCGUGUGCUCACUGUCGCUGCUCAGCAUCGUCAUCGUCACUCAGCAUCGUCAUCGCCGCUCACCUGAGAAGAGCUAAUGCAGAUAGAAGCCAGAAGAUUGGGAAUUACUGAUCAAUGGUUCUUUAAGCUCUUCCUUCUCAUCACCGAUAUUGGAUCCGUGCAGCCUGUGUCAGGCGCUGAAUCUGUUCCAGGAAGGCAAAGUCAGUGGAAAGGAUACAAAGACUAAUGAGACUAAGGUUCGUUCACAUCUAGUGGUUCAAA
Arachis ipaensis is the source of this 643-nucleotide non-coding RNA. Lineage: Eukaryota; Viridiplantae; Streptophyta; Magnoliopsida; Fabales; Fabaceae. The record is from RefSeq and is a predicted model, not a curated record.